Molecule: ribosomal RNA, 485 nt
Filed under: uncultured bacterium
Lineage: Bacteria
Description: partial 16S ribosomal RNA
Rfam family: Bacterial small subunit ribosomal RNA
Source: RNAcentral
GAUGAACGCUGGCGGCAUGGAUAAGGCAUGCAAGUCGAACGGUGUCUUCGGACAUAGUGGCGCACGGGUGCGUAACACGUAUGCAACCUACCUUACAUUGGGGGAUAGCCUUUCGAAAGGGAGAUUAAUACCGCAUAAGACAGUAGCUGGGCAUCCAGCAGCUGUUAAAGAUUUAUCGAUGUAAGCUGGGCAUGCGUCCGAUUAGCUAGUUGGUGAGGUAACGGCUCACCAAGGCAAUGAUUGGUAGGGGAACUGAGAGGUCAAUCCCCCACACUGGCACUGAGAUACGGGCCAGACUCCUACGGGAGGCAGCAGUAGGGAAUAUUGGGCAAUGGACGCAAGUCUGACCCAGCCAUGCCGCGUGCAGGAUGAAGGCGUUAUGCGUUGUAAACUGCUUUUAUACAGGAAGAAACGACUCUUGCGAGAGGCAUUGACGGUACUGUAUGAAUAAGCACCGGCUAACUCCGUGCCAGCAGCCGCGGUAA